RNAcentral lists this ribosomal RNA (440 nucleotides) under uncultured bacterium. RNAcentral describes it as "partial 16S ribosomal RNA". It matches the Rfam family "Bacterial small subunit ribosomal RNA", at positions 338 to 795 of the family's 1533-position model. The record is from RNAcentral.
CCUACGGGAGUCAGCAGUGGGGAAUAUUGGACAAUGGGGGAAACCCUGAUCCAGCGACGCCGCGUGAGUGAAGAAGUAUUUCGGUACGUAAAGCUCUAUCAUCAGGAAAGAAAAUGACGGUACCUUACUAAGAAGCCCCGGCUAACUACGUGCCAGCAGACGCGGUAAUACGUAGGGGGCAAGCGUUAUCCGGAUUUACUUGGUGUAAAGAGAGCGUAGACGGCAGCGCAAGUCUGGAGUGAAAUGCCGGGGCCCAACCCCGGAACUGCUCUGGAUACUGUGAAGCUGGAGUGAAGGAGAGGUAAGCGGAAUUCCUGGGGUAGCGGUGAAAGGCGUAGAUAUCAGGAGGAACACCGGCGGCGAAGGCGGCUUACUGGACUGUAACUGACGUUGAGGCUCGAAGGCGUGGGGAGCAAACAGGAUUAGAUACCCCUGUAGUC